RNAcentral lists this ribosomal RNA (2070 nucleotides) under Triticum aestivum (bread wheat). RNAcentral's name for it is "partial small subunit ribosomal RNA". The record is from RNAcentral. Lineage: Eukaryota; Viridiplantae; Streptophyta; Magnoliopsida; Poales; Poaceae.
AUGGAGUCGUGCCAGUUAGCGCGGGAGAGCUCUAGUAGCGGUAGGGUGGAGGCGGAGGAGGAGGCCUUCUUCGACACGCGCCAGGACCUGCUGCCGUCGCCGGCGCCCAGCCCGGCACCGGCAUUGCCGUGGUCGUCCGGCGGCCUCGAUGGCCUCGACAGCGUGCGGGACAGGAAGGAGCGCUUCUUCAGAAGCAUGGGCCUCGAGUGCGGCCCGAGCCCCAGGCAGGCGGUGGAUCCCGCUUGCGCCGCCGGCGAGGUGGAGAAGCAGCAGGAGGAGGCUGUGCCGGAGACCGGGAGGCUGUCGUCGCACUCGGAGGACAACGACUGCUCCAUGUCCAGUUGGUCCACGGAGGAGACCACGAGCUAUGACGAGGGCGGCGCGUCCGACGACAAUUCCGUCGGUGGAUCCAGCAAGGACGAUGGCAGCAGCAAGGUCAGCCGGAGCUCCAGUUCGUUCUCGUUUAUCAGAAGGCUUAUGAGCCGAAAUGGCAAGCCUUCCGGCGCUCCGAGGACAGUUGAGAGGAGGAGAAGCGGAUGGCUGGAGAGGCUGGGCGUGGCCGUUUGUGCGGUGGAUAAUGCGGCGGAUGAGCCUAGCACCAGCUCCUCUGACAGCGAGCAGAUUCAUGGUGGAAGGUAUGAGAGGGUCAAGGUCCGAUCGUACCGGAAGCGGUCCAAGGAAUUGUCUGCCCUGUACCAAGGCCAAGUGAUCAAGGGACAUGAUGGUGCCAUCCUGACGAUGAAAUUCAGUCCUGAUGGGCAGUUCCUAGCAAGCGGCGGCGAAGACGGAGUUGUCCGGGUUUGGGGUGUUUUGCAGUCUGAUGACUGCAAAAUUCCUCUGGAUGACCCCUCUUGCGUCUACCUCAAGGCGCGGCGCAAGAACGGGUUGGCGCCGGUGAGUGUCGACAGCGAGAAGCUGCGCAAAUCCAAGAGUAUGGGCAUGAAGAAGACUGGAGACUCUGCCUGCAUUGUGAUUCCAACAAUGGUUUUCCAAAUUUCAGAGGAACCAUUGCAUGAGUUCUAUGGGCAUUCUGCUGAUGUAUUGGAUCUGUCCUGGUCAAACAAGCAUCUAUUAUCGGCUUCAACAGACAAAACUGUCCGCCUGUGGGAAAUUGGAUCUGCAAACUGCAUCAGAGUUUUCCCGCAUAGCAACUUUGUGACUUGUGUCCAAUUUAAUCCGACAGACGACAAUUGCUUCAUCACUGGAUCCAUUGACGGCAAAGUUCGUGUAUGGAACAUAACUAGAUGCAGCGUUGUCGACUGGGCAGAUGUUAGAGACAUAGUUACAGCGGUCUGUUACCGACCUGAUGGAAAGGGUGUAGUGGUUGGAACGAUUACUGGAAAUUGUCGCUUUUACGACGCAUCGGACGGCCUGCUGCGGUUGGAAAAUCAGAUUGCACUCAGCGGCAAGAAAUCCUCUUUGAAGAGAAUCACAAGUUUUCAGUUCUGUCCAAACAACCCAAGUAAACUAAUGGUAACAUCUGCCGACUCCAAGAUCAGGAUGUUGGAUGGAACCAAUGUGAUUCAGAAUUACAGUGGACUCCGAAGUGGUUCAUGCCAGAUGUCAGCAUCCUUCACACCAGACGGGGAGCACAUAGUUUCUGCCAGUGAAGACUCCAACAUUUAUGUCUGGAACCGUGACAACCAAGAUGAUUCUGUGUGGCGACAAGCGAAAACCACAUAUUCCUCUGAGCGCUUCCUAUCCAACAACGCAGCCAUCGCGAUACCAUGGCACGGCACAAAACCAAGGAGCCAUGUUUCCUUGGCCUCUCAUAUCCAAUUCAAGUACAGUUCCAGCAAAAGUUUUCCUUCAAGACCCUCUGCUCCUGGCAUUUUCAACCUCAACCAGGAGUUGUUCGCCGAGCCGUCGUGCAAAGGCGCCUCGGCAACUUGGCCGGAGGAAAUGCUGCCGUCCGGCUCGAUCGGCGCAAGCCUGGACGAGACGCAGCACAAGCUUCUGAGGAACUGCUCCCAGAGCACGGCGAACUCCUGGGGCCGGGUGAUCGUCACCGCGGGAUGGGACGGCCGGAUCAGGUCGUUCCAGAAUUACGGCCUGCCGGUGCAACGGUGA